AGUGUACCGGAAGGUGCUCUUGGAAA
RNAcentral lists this ribosomal RNA (26 nucleotides) under Haddadus binotatus (clay robber frog). RNAcentral's name for it is "partial 12S ribosomal RNA". Lineage: Eukaryota; Metazoa; Chordata; Amphibia; Anura; Craugastoridae. The record is from RNAcentral.